This 46-nucleotide non-coding RNA is filed under the name Trichobilharzia regenti. The record is from RNAcentral. Lineage: Eukaryota; Metazoa; Platyhelminthes; Trematoda; Strigeidida; Schistosomatidae.
GUACUGAUGAGGAGUCCCGAAGUAGGACGAAACAACUGUCCAGUAC